CCAUCUGAACACUCUCUAUAGUUCCUUUACCUUUCAAGGGGUCAACAGUAAGAAGUCUAUCAUGGGGAGGAAAGGAGCUUCGCACAUCGUGCCAAUUUCAGACAGACUUUAACUUUAACGUUAUUACGUGACAGAAAUUAUCAUGAAAUAUGGGAGUCAAAUCUGAGUCUACAGCUUCCAAAAAUGAUCUACAAAGUGCAAGCUCUCCUCUGUCUGGACAUAUUUGUGGAUCUCUCUGAUUCCCACAAUCCAUUGCGCCAUGUCACCCAAAGGAUUGAGGGCUCCUUUGCGCCAGUAAGGGACAUUGCAAGGUUCCUAUAAGCUAAACUAGCCGUGUGAGGAAGCAUAGAGGCUCCUUUUCCUACCUCCUUCCUUACUGACUGCACUAUUCAGACAGCACUUAUUAUGGUGACCGCUGACGCACUUCCGCUGUGGCAAAAGAAUCCAAACUCAAUAAGGGUAUAUGGAUGGAGCCUUAGUGUGGCAUCAUUCACUUCUGAACUAGCAUGUAGCGACAAUGGACAGCUGCUUGCAUUUAAUGUUACAUUGCAUUGAUAUUCAUGUGUUAGAAUGGCCUAGUCAAAGUCCAGACCUAAAUUCAUCUGAACUUUACUUUGCAAAGAAGAAUGAGCCAAAAACAGAUAGAUCUGUCAAUGUGCAAAGCUGUUGUAGUGAUACCCUAAAAUACCUGCAGAUGUUAUUGUAAAUGUUAAUCUGUUGUCAUGUUUUUCCUUUUUGCUUUUAUCAAAGGGAAACCUCAGAUCAUUAUAGUAGCUCUACCCGUUGGGUUGACCUGCUUUUUGGUUUCUGUCCUCAUAUUUCGGUGUCUAAAAGAGAAAAGGCGAAACAGGGAUCUGGAGAGGUGCACAAGACCAACAAAAACAACCCAAGACCCAAAUGAUAAGGUGGAGGAUGACAAAGGAUUUCCACUCCUGCUGCAAACAUGAGACCCUCACAGGCACGACGGCCCCUCCUCUCUCAGCAGGAUGCUCCUGACCACCCCCCCUCUUCAGACCCUCUCCUGCAGCUCUCUCUCCUGCAGCUUCAGACUUCUUCAGACUUUCUCCUGACAAGCUGCUCAGACCACCUCGUCCUGGAGCAGACCAGGAAACCAUUUCGGACCAUGGGCCCUGCAUGGGCCUGACCGAUACACAAGCCAGCAGCUGAAGGAAGGUGCCUGGACCUGCCAUGCUUGAUCCAGGGUCUGCUAAAGUCGUCUGCCUGCUUCAAUAGAGGACCUGACUGAACCCGGAUAAACAACCCACUGGGACAGAGCUAAGUUUCACUGUGACUGCUGCGUAAAGCUAGCCUCGUGAGACCAUCCUGAUCUCGCGAGCUAUCAAGGUUUCACUCGCAGAUCAGUCUGGCUA
Molecule: long non-coding RNA, 1370 nt
Organism: Fundulus heteroclitus (mummichog)
Lineage: Eukaryota; Metazoa; Chordata; Actinopteri; Cyprinodontiformes; Fundulidae
Exons: 3
Source: RefSeq, a predicted model, not a curated record